Molecule: ribosomal RNA, 630 nt
Filed under: Triticum aestivum (bread wheat)
Lineage: Eukaryota; Viridiplantae; Streptophyta; Magnoliopsida; Poales; Poaceae
Description: partial small subunit ribosomal RNA
Source: RNAcentral
AUGAUUGAGCAUGCACGCAAGAGACAAGCAUCAAGAAUCACUUGGCUCAUGGCUGGAGACGCCAACACUGCUUUCUUUCAGGCCAAGAUCAACUCUAUAAGGAGGAAGAAUUUCAUUCACUCCCUGUAGGCAGAUUCAUGCACGGUCACUUCUCAUGAUGAUAAAGCAGCCAUUGUACAUGAUCACUUUGUCAACCUUUUGGGAACAAAGCGGGACCAAGGCUUCUCCUUAAAAUGGAAUGUGAUCGACCUGCCGUCUGUUGAUAAUGCAAGCCUGGACAACCCAUUCGCUGAACCUGAAGUUUGUGCUGUUCUUCUUGCAUUUCCAGUAGACCAAGCUCCAGGCCCAUACUACUUCUCGGGCGUCUUCUUCCGUACCUGCUGGAACACCAUCAAGCAUGACGUCAUGGCUGUUUUCAAUCACUUCUACAGGCUUGCUGGGGGCAAUUUCUCGGACCUAAACUUAGCCAUGAUUGCUCUGCUGCUGAAGAAGGAUGUUGCAGUCUGCAUGGGCAACUUCAGAUUGAUCAACCUCAUCCAUUCGAUCGCCAAGUUGAUCACCAAGGUUCUGUCGAUGAGAUUAGUCACGGUCAUCAGAACAGUAAUCUCUCCUGCACAAUCAACAUUCUAG